GGAUGAAGCAACUGAUCACAUCGUCUCGUCUAAAGAUGUUACGUACAAAACUCAAAUCUUAUAUUAUAUGAUCAAAAUACAGUUUGUUUCGAAUUAUGUGGAUGUGUGAGCAGACGCUUAGGCCAUUGUUUAUAAUUGAGGUCCCAUUACCGAAACUUGUGGCGUGAUAUAUCGAUAUAUCGGACAAUUAAUCAGUGAAAUUCAUACUGGGAGAUAUUUCAGAUAUAUCACACUAACACCGUUUUAAAUAUAUCUGAUGAAAUAUCGGAUAUAUCAGAUAAUCAUGGUGGAAUAUAUCGGACGAUAUAUCGGACAUAUCAGAUAAUCAUGGUGAAAUAUCAGAUGAUAUAUAUCGGACAUAUCAGAUAAUCAUGAUGAAAUACAUCAGAUGAUAUAUCGGGACAUCAGAUAACCAUGGUGAGAUAUAUCGGACGAUAUAUCGGACAGCAGAUAAUCAUGGUGAGAUAUAUCGGACGAUAUAUCGGACAUCAGAUAAUCAUGGUGAGAUAUAUCGGACGGCAUAUCAGACAUAUCAGAUAAUCAUGGAGAAAUAUAUCAGAUGAUAUAUCGGACAUAUUAGAUAAUCGUGUUGAGAUAUAUCAGACGAUAUAUCGGACAUAUCAGAUAUUCAUGGUGAGAUAUAUCAGACGAUAUCUCGGACAUAUCAGAUAAUCAUGGUGACAUAUAUCAGACAAUAUAUCGGACAUAUCAGAUAAUCAUGGUGGGAUAUAUCGGAGGAUAUAUUGGACAUAUCAGAUAAUCAUGGUGAGAUAUAUCGGACGAUAUAUCAGACAUAUCAGAUAAUCAUGGUGAGAUAUAUCAGACGAUAUAUUGGACAUAUCAGAUAAACGUGAGAUAUAUCAGACGAUAUAUUGGACAUCAGAUAAUUGUGAGAUAUAUCAGACGAUAUAUCGGACAUAUCAGAUAAGCGUGAGAUAUAUCAGACGAUAUAUUGGACAUAUCAGAUAAUUGUGAGAUAUAUCAGACAAUAUAUCGGACAUCAGAUAAUCAUGGUGAGAUAUAUCAGACGAUAUAUUGGACAUAUCAGAUAAGCGUGAGAUAUAUCAGACGAUAUAUUGGACAUAUCAGAUAAUUGUGAGAUAUAUCAGACGAUAUAUCGGACAUAUCAGAUAAGCGUGAGAUAUAUCAGACGAUAUAAUGGACAUAUCAGAUAAUUGUGAGAUAUAUCAGACGAUAUAUCGGACAUCAGAUAAUCAUGGUGAGAUAUAUCAGACGAUAUAUCGGACAUAUCAGAUAAUCAUGGUGGGAUAUAUCGGAGGAUAUAUCGGACAUAUCAGAUAAUCAUGGUGAGAUAUAUCAGACGAUAUAUCAGACAUAUCAGAUAAUCAUGGUGAGAUAUGUCAGACGAUAUAUUGGACAUAUCAGAUAAUUGUGAGAUAUAUCAGACGAUAUAUCGGACAUCAGAUAAUCAUGGUGAGAUAUAUCAGACGAUAUAUCGGACAUAUCAGAUAAGCGUGAGAUAUAUCAGACGAUAUAUUGGACAUAUCAGAUAAUUGUGAGAUAUAUCAGACGAUAUAUCGGACAUCAGAUAAUCAUGGUGAGAUAUAUCAGACGAUAUAUUGGACAUCAGAUAAUCAUGGUGAGAUAUAUCAGACGAUGUAUUACCUCACAAACACACAGAAUGCAUAGAUCUCAUAUGCAAAUGGUUUAUAUUUGAAUAUGUAUUCAAUAUGCUAAAUAUUUUGCGUAAGUGAAUGUACACAUUCCGAACAGAACUUCAGGACAGAACAAUGCCGCUGCUACAGGCUAACGCUCUCCAUAUGGAAGAGAUUGAUGUGUGCAUGCCGUGUGUGCUGCCUGUCUGUAUCAUAUAUAAAGGGUUAAUGAAAGGCCGUGCCUCGUCUCGGGUGUGUCUUUACCUUGGGUCAGGUAGAGCGCAGCGCCACAGGUGUUGCUUUAGCGUCUGCACCCAACCGAUAUCUCGGAUUGGCUGACAGAGCUGAAUGUAGUGCUGCUGUUUUAGCACGAGCCUUAAAAAAAAAAACAACCAAAAAAAAAAAAAAAAAACGAGACGAGAAAAAAGGCCACGGAUUAGCUACAUCAGAUUUCAAACCUCUCUCAUAACAUCGCGAAUAAAUCAUGCGAGUAAAUACACAUCGGAUUACUGGGAUGCGAGAAAAUCCUCCGUCAUGACAUCAUCACCUGAGUUCAGUAAUCUAGCAGUAACACUUAAUCUGUCGUUUUUACUGAAAAGAGGAGUGAAUCGAACGCCGCUAGCAUCCUUCAUUUAUCUGUACAGAUUGCUGAACUAUACUGAAUGAUCACGCUGGAUAUCGCUUAAUAAUACUUUAUAUCUUAGCGCAUGUAUCAGAUAUAUCGGACAGUGACUCGGAUGAUAUAUCGGAUUUAUGAACGCUCCCUCAGGAAUAAGAAGGCCGUGUGAAAGGAGGCUCGGGUUACAGACGACAUAAACAGAGGUGUGUUAAUAUUUAAUCAUUAAAUAACGCUGCCCUACUGGAGUUCUCUUCCAUGUGGAGUCACACACACACACACACACACACACACACACACACACACACACACAACACAACACGGACAGGAACACAAGACAAACAACAACAACAACACACUAUUGUUCACCUACCGUUUACUCCCAAACCCUCCAUGCUCCCGGGGAAGAGAGGGAUGAGGCAGGAAAGAGGGAAUGUGAAUGGGUAGAGGGGGUCGAACCGGAGACGGAGGAAAAUAGGAUGAGGCACGAAGAGGUGAAUACGAAGAGGAAGAAUGGGAAGCGCGGGAUAAUCAGGAAGGGAUUAAGGAAAUAGGAAGAGGGGCCAAACAGGAAGAGGGCAGGGAAUGUGAUGAACAGGUGUUUGGGAAGAAUGAGCAGAGGAAUGGAAAGUGACGAAGGAAUGAGAAGAGAGGAAAAGAGCAAGUAGGAAGUAAGGCCGGAUGGAAAGAAGGGGCGCAGAGGGGUGAAUAGAAGGACAGGGCGACUGGGAAGAUGGGGCAAAUGGGGUACAGAGGUGAAUAGGAAGUAAGGGGCAAACAGGAAAACAAAGCAGAGGGGGCUAAUGGGAAGAACGAGGUGAAGGGACGAGUGGGACGAGUUGGGAAGUGAAAAUAAGAAAAAAAAAGAGAGAGAUGAGUCAGUGGGGCGAGAGGAGAGAAAGAAGAGGGAAAGGAAAGAGAGAGAGAGAGAGAAGAGAGAGAAGAGAGGGAGCCCUCCCACCUCUCAAACAAAACAAAGCGAGACACUUCGGC
Long non-coding RNA from Ictalurus punctatus (channel catfish), 3225 nucleotides. Lineage: Eukaryota; Metazoa; Chordata; Actinopteri; Siluriformes; Ictaluridae. The record is from Ensembl.